GACUAAGGUUCGAUUCGAGCGCAGCGAGAAAGCGUUGCCGCAGGCAACGACCCGAAGGGUGAGGAGCGGAGCGACGAAUAAUCCUUCCCCCACCACCA
RNAcentral lists this small RNA (98 nucleotides) under Salmonella enterica. RNAcentral's name for it is "partial RtT sRNA". It matches the Rfam family "RtT RNA", at positions 34 to 130 of the family's 130-position model. From Rfam's summary of the family: This family represents a bacterial cis-regulatory element known as RtT RNA. The exact function of RtT is unknown although it is thought that it may be involved in changing the cellular response in relation to amino acid starvation. The record is from RNAcentral. Lineage: Bacteria; Pseudomonadati; Pseudomonadota; Gammaproteobacteria; Enterobacterales; Enterobacteriaceae.